This 428-nucleotide ribosomal RNA is filed under the name Acidobacteriota bacterium. Its description in RNAcentral is "Acidobacteria bacterium partial 16S ribosomal RNA". It matches the Rfam family "Bacterial small subunit ribosomal RNA", at positions 355 to 776 of the family's 1533-position model. The record is from RNAcentral. Lineage: Bacteria; Pseudomonadati; Acidobacteriota.
UAGGGAAUUUUCGUCAAUGGGGGAAACCCUGAACGAGCAAUGCCGCGUGAGUGAAGAAGGUCUUCGGAUCGUAAAGCUCUGUUGUAAGUGAAGAACGGCUCAUAGAGGAAAUGCUAUGGGAGUGACGGUAGCUUACCAGAAAGCCACGGCUAACUACGUGCCAGCAGCCGCGGUAAUACGUAGGUGGCAAGCGUUAUCCGGAAUCAUUGGGCGUAAAGGGUGCGUAGGUGGCGUACUAAGUCUGUAGUAAAAGGCAAUGGCUCAACCAUUGUAAGCUAUGGAAACUGGUAUGCUGGAGUGCAGAAGAGGGGGAUGGAAUUCCAUGUGUAGCGGUAAAAUGCGUAGAUAUAUGGAGGAACACCAGUGGCGAAGGCGGUCGCCUGGUCUGUAACUGACACUGAGGCACGAAAGCGUGGGGAGCAAAUAGG